UGUUCAAAAGCAAAAUGGCGGCUGUUGGGGAUGGCAAGGUAACGGUGUGUUUUGACGUUGUGGCUGUGUUACCGGCGGGUGGAUCAGGAGUGAGAAUGAACUUGAGACUACCUAAACAGUUUUGUCAAGUAAAAGAAAGGCCACUGAUCAGUUACACCUUGGCAGCAUUUGAAAGUGUAUCAUGGAUCAAGGAGGUUGUUGUACCCAUCAAUGUAAACUAUAUGGAGGAAGCACAGAAGAUUUUGAAGGACUUUCGUCAUGGUAAAGUCAGAUUAGUUUAUGGAGGGUCCACAAGACACAGAUCAUUAUGGAAUGGUAUUCAAGCACUCACUGCAGAUGGGAGAACUCCUCCAACAGUAGUAAUUCUUCAUGAUGCUGUGCGGCCAUUUGUUGAUGAACAAACAUUGAGGAGUGUGACAAUGGCUGCUAAAAAUAAUGGGGCAGCUGGGAUGAUCAGACCACUUUCAUCCACAGUUGUUGCUCAGUCAUGUGACGGGUUCCUAGAUCAUUCACUUGACAGGUCAAAGUUCAGGGCAAGUGAAAUGCCACAAGCUUUCAAGUAUGAAGUCAUUCAGAAAGCCUACAUGAAGUGCACAGAAUAUGACUUUGAUUGUGGCACAGAGUGUUUACACCUGGCUCAAAAGUAUGCUGAUACAAAUGCUGUGUUGAUUGAUGGACCUGAAUUUCUUUGGAAGGUUACCUACAGAAAGGAUUUGUAUUCUGCCGAAGGGGUCUUGAAAGAAAAGCAACAGCAAGUGCUGUUGGUGAUAAAUGGAACAGACUUCCCAGAGUUCACGGGAAAGCUGCAUGAACAUAUACAGGAGAGAGAUGAAAUGGUCACGUAUCUUCCUGACAUAUCUGGAGACGGACAACUAUCACGAGAUAUGGCGCAGUGUUUGGCAUCCCAGAUCAACUUGAAGCUGGUGGCUCCCGGUUGCUGUGUUUCUGUUGUUUAUGUAACGCAGGACACACACGCAGAUGAACAAGUAGUUUGCAAGGGCCAUAACACAGUAGGUAUUCGGUUGUUUCUCAGAUCAUUCUGUGAGACGCUCGACUCCUGUUUGUUAAAAAGUGUGAGACUCGUUAAUGUUGGAUUUCGUCAUAGCAUUAAGGAUUUCGAUGCAUUUAAGGUAAGGUUAGCUACGAAUAAUAACGAGCUUAGACUUUUAUACACUGCUGAAGGUGUACAGUAGGAUACUGACUUCAACUCGGUUGUUAGAGCUUAUUCCAGUAUAAUAAAACAAGAGUGAGUAUUUCUUGUCGCCCUAAAUGAGAUGCUAGCUCAUAGCAGGAAAUCUCUGCCCACAUAAGAUUUCCAUAAAAGGUUUUUCUAAAUCAAACAAACUACUGGGUGGACAACAACAAAGCGAAAGUUAAGUUUCGUGCCAUCAUGGCCGCCUAGCCACGGCUCCAUACCGCAGGCGAGCACAUGAACCACCGGGCCACCUUAUCUCAUUCAGGUGGAGAAGGCUGGGAAAAAGUGAAAAGUAAACCGGUUGAAAUAGCAUAAUUCGACAUGGACUGUCCUCAACUGAUCUCUGGAAUCAUUAGCUGACGUCUGUUGACAGCUGUGAAAGAUCUCCAGUCCUGUUUACAGGAACAAGGCGUAAAUUGCUUCGGUGUGUUUGUCCUCUCCAACAGUACAA
This 1646-nucleotide unclassified non-coding RNA is filed under the name Stylophora pistillata. RNAcentral describes it as "d-ribitol-5-phosphate cytidylyltransferase-like, transcript variant X1". Lineage: Eukaryota; Metazoa; Cnidaria; Anthozoa; Scleractinia; Pocilloporidae. The record is from RNAcentral.